AAGAACGGGAGGUACCUGGUGGAGCGAGAGGGCUCGUAGCAAGGUAUGGAUACAAGGAGUGGGGAAACAUGGGAUGUUUCGGGAACCCAAUAGUUGUAUCUGGUUCUAUCCUCUGUAAUAUUUUCUAUUGUAUAGUGGAAUUAUUCUCUCUCAUCCGUGGACGUAGGCAUGGUUGGCCGAACCACGUUAAAACCUCGUGUACCGUAUGUGUGAUUGUGUUUAUCUUUGUGUUCUUGAACUAACAUUGUUGGCA
RNAcentral lists this long non-coding RNA (253 nucleotides) under Vitis vinifera (wine grape). RNAcentral's name for it is "long non-coding RNA (VVIN_LNC004964)". Lineage: Eukaryota; Viridiplantae; Streptophyta; Magnoliopsida; Vitales; Vitaceae. The record is from RNAcentral.